Molecule: transfer RNA, 69 nt
Filed under: Teratoscincus microlepis (Small-scaled wonder gecko)
Lineage: Eukaryota; Metazoa; Chordata; Lepidosauria; Squamata; Sphaerodactylidae
Description: tRNA-Tyr
Rfam family: tRNA
About the family: Transfer RNA (tRNA) molecules are approximately 80 nucleotides in length. Their secondary structure includes four short double-helical elements and three loops (D, anti-codon, and T loops). Further hydrogen bonds mediate the characteristic L-shaped molecular structure. tRNAs have two regions of fundamental functional importance: the anti-codon, which is responsible for specific mRNA codon recognition, and the 3' end, to which the tRNAs corresponding amino acid is attached (by aminoacyl-tRNA synthetases). tRNAs cope with the degeneracy of the genetic code in two manners: having more than one tRNA (with a specific anti-codon) for a particular amino acid; and 'wobble' base-pairing, i.e. permitting non-standard base-pairing at the 3rd anti-codon position.
Source: RNAcentral
GGUAAGAUGGCCGAGAGUAGGCAGCGAGCUGUAGACUCGCGCACAGGGGUUCAAGUCCACUUCUUAUCA